CAGCAGCCGCGGUGAUACGUAGGGAGCAAGCGUUGUCCGGAAUUACUGGGCGUAAAGGGCUCGUAGGUGGUUGAGUAAGUCAGAUGUGAAAUCUCAGGGCCCAACCCUGAGCCUGCAUUUGAUACUGCUCUGACUAGAGUCCGGUAGGGGAGUGCGGAACUCCUGGUGUAGCGGUGAAAUGCGCAGAUAUCAGGAAGAACACCGACAGCGAAGGCAGCACUCUGGGCCGGUACUGACACUGAGGAGCGAAAGCAUGGGUAGCAAACAGGAUUAGAUACCCUGGUAGUCCAUGCCGUAAACGUUGGGCACUAGGUGUGGGGAGAACUCAACUCUCUCCGCGCCGUAGCUAACGCAUUAAGUGCCCCGCCUGGGGAGUACGGCCGCAAGGCUAAAACUCAAAGGAAUUGACGGGGGCCCGCACAAGCGGCGGAGCAUGUUGCUUAAUUCGAGGCAACGCGAAGAACCUUACCUGGGUUGAACUACGUGGGAAAAGCCGCAGAGAUGCGGUGUCCUUCGGGGUCCACGAUAGGUGGUGCAUGGCC
RNAcentral lists this ribosomal RNA (542 nucleotides) under uncultured archaeon. RNAcentral describes it as "bacterial SSU rRNA". It matches the Rfam family "Bacterial small subunit ribosomal RNA", at positions 509 to 1050 of the family's 1533-position model. The record is from RNAcentral.